AUCAUCAUCAUCAUCAUCAUCAAAUUCAAUUCAAGUGAAGCACCACCACCACCACUCAGCAAUGGUGACUCUUCUUGUUGCUACAACCUCCGACCCUGCUUCCAUCAACCCUGCCAAUGCCCGCUUGGCAACCAGGAUGACAUGAAGAGUUUCUGUAAUGGAGGGGUGAGGGUUUUGCUUCAUGGGAAGAGCAUAGUGGUGGAGGAUGACUUGGACAAGAGGUGGAAAGAGAAGACUGGUGAGGUUGUUGAUGAGGUCAUCUUCUUCAGCAAGCACACUGCUGUUUCUAACAAACCUGCCCUCACUGUUCAUCCCAUUGAUUACUUUGGAGGCCACUCAUCACGGGCCAUUCACGAAUAAGCCAACAAUGUUUCUUGAGAUUGGGAGAAUGAUAAGAAGAAAGUCCUUCUUGGGAUAGGUGGCGGACACUAUGCGCCUCGGCAUAUGGAUGUAGUAUUGUGAGCAGUCAUUAUCCUUGUAGUUUAAUUUUCUCUCUGACUUUUGAAAGACGGUGUUUCGGGAGUGAGCGAACAACGCGAGACAAUGCUGCUUCGACAAAUUGACAUUACAAACCAUAAUGCAAAUCUGCAGGCCUUUGUUGUUAAAUAAUCUCAGUCAUAUGCUUCUGCAAUAUCCACAAGACGAAUGAACUGCUCUGGAUAGUAGGUUUCUCAGUUCUGCUCCUGCCACUUACUUAAUUCUCGGUCGCUAUGGGUUCUUGUUGUACAAAGGUUCGUUCUUGUUCUUGUUUCUCUUCUCUGAGUACAUUGCCAUUUGUGCACAACUCGGCUUCACUUGGCUUGUCCAUGGAACUGGGAGCCGCAUUCAGAG
Arachis ipaensis is the source of this 831-nucleotide long non-coding RNA. RefSeq lists it as uncharacterized. The record is from RefSeq and is a predicted model, not a curated record. NCBI's taxonomy places the organism in Eukaryota, Viridiplantae, Streptophyta, Magnoliopsida, Fabales, Fabaceae.